GUAGCUGGGCUAGACUUCUCUCAAGGCCCAUUAUUUUUGAUAAAGUGUCAAAUUAGGGUCUGUGCUUGCAGACUAGCCAGACCUUGUAAUAACAAUUGCUGGUAUUCAUACAAACUGCAAACUUAAAUAGAGGUUUAAAACCGUGACUGAUGAAGUAAAGUUAAGCCUUCUUCAGAUAUUAAAGCCAUAGUCAACUGUAGCAUUUUAUGUUUGUUUUUGUUUUUAAAUGACACGAGUGUAAUAUGCAUCACAUUUUUGUGUCUCGUAACGUAGAGCUAGGUAAAUAUGCAUAAGAACUUCAAUGUUAAAAAAGUCUUGGUUUACUGCGGAAUAUGUGAAAACGUCUUAAGUACCUAGUUUUAUGGUUCGCCAAAUGUCAACCUCUUACUGUAAAAAUAAAUCACCUAAACCUGCCUUAAGUUCAUUAUUUAUAGAGCACAGCCACUUUUUCUAAAGAGCGCAUCCAUUUAUUACACGAUGCAUAGGAUGAUCUAGAAUGGGCACCUAUAAAUCUCCAAGUCACAAAGAUUGAUUUUGGGUAGGGGUAUAGAGGUCGAUUGAUCAAAGGUUCACCCAUGGCCUUUGUGGCCUUUAAUUAAUAAUUAAUUAAAGAUAUCAUAAUACAUGUUCAAAAUUCACAAGCACAUGAAGCUCACGUAAUGUCAAUCUUUUUAUUUAAUUUCUAAUUUGUAUUUAA
Long non-coding RNA from Strongylocentrotus purpuratus (purple sea urchin), 697 nucleotides. RefSeq lists it as uncharacterized. The transcript is spliced from 2 exons. The record is from RefSeq and is a predicted model, not a curated record. Lineage: Eukaryota; Metazoa; Echinodermata; Echinoidea; Camarodonta; Strongylocentrotidae.